UGGGGAAUAUUGGACAAUGGGCGAAAGCCUGAUCCAGCCAUGCCGCGUGUGUGAAGAAGGUCUUCGGAUUGUAAAGCACUUUAAGUUGGGAGGAAGGGCAGUAAGCGAAUACCUUGCUGUUUUGACGUUACCGACAGAAUAAGCACCGGCUAACUCUGUGCCAGCAGCCGCGGUAAUACAGAGGGUGCAAGCGUUAGUCGGAAUUACUGGGCGUAAAGCGCGCGUAGGUGGUUCGUUAAGUUGAAUGUGAAAGCCCCGGGCUCAACCUGGGAACUGCAUCCAGAACUGGCGAGCUAGAGUAGGGCAGAGGGUGGUGGAAUUUCCUGUGUAGCGGUGAAAUGCGUAGAUAUAGGAAGGAACACCAGUGGCGAAGGCGACCACCUGGGCUCAUACUGACACUGAGGUGCGAAAGCGUGGGGAGCAAACAGG
Molecule: ribosomal RNA, 429 nt
Filed under: Pseudomonadota bacterium
Lineage: Bacteria; Pseudomonadati; Pseudomonadota
Description: Proteobacteria bacterium partial 16S ribosomal RNA
Rfam family: Bacterial small subunit ribosomal RNA
Source: RNAcentral